UUAAUUUAAUUGAAGAAAGAUUUAUCGCUUUGAGAUGGGCUUGCGUCCUAUCAGGUAGUUGGUAAGGUAAUAGCUUACCAAGCCUAAGACGGGUAGCUGGAGUGAGAGCUUGACCAGCCAGAGGGGGACUGAGACACGGCCCCCACUCCUACGGGAGGCAGCAGCAGGGAAUCUUGCACAAUGGGCGAAAGCCUGAUGCAGCGACGCCGCGUGAGGGAUGAAGGUUUUAGGAUCGUAAACCUCUUUUCUUAGGGAAUAGUUUGGAAGGUACCUAAGGAAUAAGUCACGGCUAACUACGUGCCAGCAGCCGCGGUAAUACGUAGGUGGCAAAUGUUGUCCGGAAUCAUUGGGCGUAAAGGGUCCGUAGGUGGCAUAAAAAGUCUUAUGUGAAAUCUCUUGGCUCAACCAAGAAACGCCAUAAGAAACUUUUAUGCUAGAGAUCAUCAGAGGGAGGUAGAAUUCCAGGUGUAGUGGUGAAAUGCGUAGAUAUCUGGAGGAAUACCAAUGGCGAAAGCAGCCUCCUGGGGUGAAUCUGACAUUGAGGGACGAAAGCGUGGGUAGCAAACCGGAUUAGAUACCCGGGUAGUCCAUGCCGUAAACGAUGAAUACUGGGUCUUCGGGGAAUCGACCCCCUGUGGACCGAAGCUAACGCGUUAAGUAUUCCGCCUGGGGAGUACGGUCGCAAGACUAAAACUCAAAGGAAUUGACGGGGGCCCGCACAAGCAGCGGAGCGUGUGGUUUAAUUCGAUGGUAAACGAAGAACCUUACCUAGGUUUGACAUAUAAGUAGUACUGACCCGAAAGGUGAUGGACCCGCAAGGGAGCUUAUACAGGUGCUGCAUGGUUGUCGUCAGCUCGUGCCGUGAGGUGUUGGGUUAAGUCCCGCAACGAGCGCAACCCUCGUGGAUAGUUGUUUUCUUUAUCCAGACUGCUUUUACAAGAGGAAGGUGGGGAUGACGUCAAAUCAUCAUGGCUCUUACACCUAGGGCUACACACACGCUACAAUGGACAGUACAGACGGUUGCUAAGUCGCAAGAUGGAGCCAAUCCGAUAAAGCUGUCCCCAAUUGGGAUUGUAGGCUGAAACUCGCCUGCAUGAACCUGGAGUUGCUAGUAACCGCAG
This 1121-nucleotide ribosomal RNA is filed under the name marine metagenome. RNAcentral's name for it is "bacterial SSU rRNA". It matches the Rfam family "Bacterial small subunit ribosomal RNA", at positions 188 to 1347 of the family's 1533-position model. The record is from RNAcentral.